RNAcentral lists this ribosomal RNA (497 nucleotides) under uncultured bacterium. Its description in RNAcentral is "partial 16S ribosomal RNA". It matches the Rfam family "Bacterial small subunit ribosomal RNA", at positions 28 to 507 of the family's 1533-position model. The record is from RNAcentral.
GAUGAACGCUGGCGGCGUGCCUAAUACAUGCAAGUCGAGCGAACGGACCAGAAGCUUGCUUCUCUUUUGUUAGCGGCGGACGGGUGAGUAACACGUGGAUAACCUACCUAUUAGACUGGGAUAACUUCGGGAAACCGGAGCUAAUACCGGAUGAUACUUUGAAUCGCAUGGUUCAUAAGUGAAAGACGGCGCUGGCUUUCCCUACAGGUUGAUCCGCGCUGCAUUAGCUAGUUGGUAAGGUAACGGCUUACCAAGGCGACGAUGCGUAGCCGACCUGAGAGGGUGAUCGGCCACACUGGAACUGAGACACGGUCCAGACUCCUACGGGAGGCAGCAGUAGGGAAUCUUCCGCAAUGGGCGAAAGCCUGACGGAGCAACGCCGCGUGAGUGAUGAAGGCCUUCGGAUCGUAAAACUCUGUUAUUAGGGAAGAACAAAUGUGUAAGUAACUGUGCUCAUCGUGACGGUACCUAAUCAGAAAGCCACGGCUAACUACGUG